AAUUUUUUAAUAUAAUUAGUAUAUUUGGCUUCCAACCAAAAAGUCUAGAAAUUCUAGAAAAAUUA
RNAcentral lists this transfer RNA (65 nucleotides) under Nephrops norvegicus (Norway lobster). RNAcentral describes it as "tRNA-Gly". Lineage: Eukaryota; Metazoa; Arthropoda; Malacostraca; Decapoda; Nephropidae. The record is from RNAcentral.